This 755-nucleotide ribosomal RNA is filed under the name Pseudoalteromonas sp. RNAcentral describes it as "bacterial SSU rRNA". It matches the Rfam family "Bacterial small subunit ribosomal RNA", at positions 136 to 891 of the family's 1533-position model. Lineage: Bacteria; Pseudomonadati; Pseudomonadota; Gammaproteobacteria; Alteromonadales; Pseudoalteromonadaceae. The record is from RNAcentral.
GCUGGGGACAGCAAUUGGAAACGACUACUAUACCGCAUGAUGUGUAUGGCCUAAAGAGGGGGACAUUCGGGCCUCACGCCAUAAGAUUAGCCCAAGUGGGAUAGCUAGUUGGUGAGGUAGUGGCUCACCAUGGCGACGAUCCCUAGCUGGUUUGAGAGGAUGAUCAGCCACACUGGGAUUGAGACACGUCCCAGACUCUUACGGGAGGCAGCAGUGGGGAAUAUUGCACAAUGGGCGCAAGCCUGAUGCAGCCAUGCCGGGUGUGUGAAGAAGGCCUUCGGGUUGUAAAGCACUUUCAGUAAGGAGGAAAGGUUAAAUGUUAAUACCUGUUAGCUGUGACGUUACUUACAGAAGAAGCACCGGCUAACUCCGUGCCAGCAGCCGCGGUAAUACGGAGGGUGCGAGCGUUAAUCGGAAUUACUGGGCGUAAAGCGUACGCAGGCGGUUUGUUAAGCGAGAUGUGAAAGCCCCGGGCUCAACUUGGGAACUGCAUUUCGAACUGGCAAACUAGAGUGUGAUAGAGGGUGGUAGAAUUUCAGGUGUAGCGGUGAAAUGCGUAGAGAUUUGAAGGAAUACCGAUGGCGAAGGCAGCCACCUGGGUCAACACUGACGCUCAUGUACGAAAGCGUGGGGAGCAAACAGGAUUAGAUACCCUGGUAGUCCACGCCGUAAACGAUGUCUACCAGAAGCUGGGGUCUUGGGACUUGUUUUUCAAAGCUAACGCAUUAAGUAGACCGCCUGGGAGUACGUCGCAA